RNAcentral lists this transfer RNA (45 nucleotides) under Daphnia pulex (common water flea). It matches the Rfam family "tRNA", at positions 1 to 44 of the family's 71-position model. Rfam says of the family: Transfer RNA (tRNA) molecules are approximately 80 nucleotides in length. Their secondary structure includes four short double-helical elements and three loops (D, anti-codon, and T loops). Lineage: Eukaryota; Metazoa; Arthropoda; Branchiopoda; Diplostraca; Daphniidae. The record is from Rfam by way of RNAcentral.
GGGGAUGUAGCUCAGAUGGUAGAGCGCUCGCUUAGCAUGCGAGAG